GGGGAUAUUGCCGGUGGCAGUAAAAGAACGAAAUCGUGAAUCUGUUGUUGAUCAACUUCAGGAGCUGGUUUCUUUGGGCCCCUGCCAAGGCCAACCUCUACAAGGGGCUCCCUUGUCAACACAGAAGAAUCUGGCUUGACCUUCCAGUUGGCUUGCUCUGAG
Molecule: non-coding RNA, 162 nt
Organism: Notechis scutatus (mainland tiger snake)
Lineage: Eukaryota; Metazoa; Chordata; Lepidosauria; Squamata; Elapidae
Source: RefSeq, a predicted model, not a curated record